This 251-nucleotide ribosomal RNA is filed under the name uncultured prokaryote. RNAcentral's name for it is "partial 16S rRNA". It matches the Rfam family "Bacterial small subunit ribosomal RNA", at positions 525 to 775 of the family's 1533-position model. The record is from RNAcentral.
ACGUAGGGGGCGAGCGUUGUCCGGAAUUACUGGGCGUAAAGGGUGCGUAGGCGGCAAUUUAAGUUGGAUGUGAAAUACCCGGGCUUAACCUGGGGGGUGCAUUCAAAACUGGAUAGCUAGAGUACAGGAGAGGGAAGCGGAAUUCCUAGUGUAGCGGUGAAAUGCGUAGAUAUUAGGAGGAACACCGGUGGCGAAGGCGGCUUUCUGGACUGAAACUGACGCUGAGGCACGAAAGCGUGGGGAGCAAACAG